Molecule: non-coding RNA, 6580 nt
Organism: Rattus norvegicus (Norway rat)
Lineage: Eukaryota; Metazoa; Chordata; Mammalia; Rodentia; Muridae
Source: RefSeq, a predicted model, not a curated record
AUCCAAUAAAAAAAGAAAGUCUGAAAGAAUUCUGCAUUAAAACUAUCUGGCCCUGGGCUUUUUGUUACUGAUGUUGGGAGAUUCUAAAUGACUGCUUCUAUUUCCCUAGGAGUUAUAAAUCUAUUUAAAUUGUCUAUCUGAUCUUGAGUUAACAUUUUGUAAGUGAUAUCUAUCAAGAAAAUCAUCUAUUUCAUUUAAAAUUUCUAAUUUUGUGGAGUACAGGCUUUGGAAGUAAGAUCUAAUCAUUUUUAAAUUUCCUCAGUUUCUUUUGUGUCUCCCUUUUUAUUUCUGGUUUUGUUUAUUUGAAUACUGUCUCUCUACCUUUUAUUUUGGUUGGAUUAUGUUUUGUCUACCUUGUUGAUUUUUUCAAACAAAACAAAACAAAACAAAACAAAAACAGAAACAAAAAGUAGCCUGCUUGCCUUGGAGUUUCCUUUUAGUAUUUUCUAUAGGGUAGAAUUUAUGAGUAGAUAUUGUUUAAAUUUGGUUUUGUCAUGGUAUAUCUGGUUUUCUCCAACUAUUGUGAUUCAAAUUUGCUAGGUAUGGUAGUCUGAGCUGAAAUUUGUGGUCUCUUAGAGUCUACAAGGCAUCUGUCCUGGCCCUUCUGACUCUCAGAGACUCUGCUGAGAAGUUGAAUGUAAUUCUGAUAGGUCUGCAUUUAUGUGCUACUUGGUCUUUUUCCCUGAACCCUUUAAUAUUUUUUUCUUUAUUCUGUACAUUUGGUACUUAUAUUAUUAUAUGGCUGGAAGAAUUUCUUUUCAUGUCCAAUCUUUCUGAUGUUCUGUAAACUUGUGUGUUUGUCUUUCUUAGGUUGGGAAAAUUUUCUUCUAUGAUUUUCUUGAGUCUGGGGCUUGUAGCUGGGACUCUUCUAGUUCUUCUAUUCUUAUUGUUCAUAGAGUUGGUCUUUUUACAGUGUCCCAGAUUUCUUGGGUGUCUUGUGCUGUGAACUGUUUAAAUUUAGGAUUUUCUUUGUUAUAUCAAUUUCUUCAAUUGUAACUUCUAUGCCUGAGACUCUCUCUUCCAUCUCUUGUCUUCUGUUCAUGAUGCUUGCGUCUGCAGUUCCUGUUCUCUUCUCUAGGUUUUCAGUCUCCAGUAUGUCCUCAGUUUGUGUUUUCAUUAUUGUUUUUAUUUCCAUUUUCAGUUCUUGAACAGUUUUCUUCCUUUCCUUCACCUGUUUGAUUGUGUUUUCCUGCAGUUCUUCAUUCAUUUCCUCUUUAAAGGCCUCUAUCAUCUUUGUAAGAUUGGAUUAAGCUUGUCUUCUUGUGCUUCUGCUUUGUUAGGAUAUCCAAGGGUGGCUGUAGCAGGAUAGCUGUGCUCUGGUGCCUCAUAUUGCCCUGUCUCUUGUUGAUUGUGUUCUUACACUGUCCUUUAGCCAUCUGGAUGUUCCUGAUGCCAGCAGGACAUCUCAUGGAGGCAGGCAAAAGAUCUCAGGAAACAACAUACUUCUGCUCAUCUCUGCUGGUUAUACCCCAGGUAGACUGGGCAGGCAGGGAAUUUGAUUUGAUGAUUUUGAUUGAAGGAACAAUAGUUAUUCUGAGGAUCUCACCUUAAAUUUUACAUAACUUUUAUCUCUUGAUGUAUUCAUCAUAUUUUUUGUUCUGUAUGUUUAGUUUUUCUUAGUAAUUAUAUAGUAUGAUGUGUUUAUUUCCUGGCCCUUCCAUGAUUUUUUGGCAAUAGCUCUUUUAUCUUUAAGAACAUCUCUUUGCUGAUAUUUAGAAAUAUUUCUUUUGUCUUUAUUAGAGAGAUUUAUACAGAUUUAACACUAAUUUAUUUUUUCUUUUCUGACUAUAAUUCAUGUUACAUUUUUCCUCUGUAUAAUGUCCAAAAGUUCUUAUGUAUUUUAUUUACACAAUUAUGCAUAUGAGUUGAAAGAAAAGGAAAGUCAGAGAUAAACAAGCACAUCACGAAUCGUGAUUAGUAUUAGGUUACUAGAUGGGACCCCAAAAAAGUGGGUAUAAACAAGUGGCAAAAGAAAGAUGGAGUGUUUUCUCAUAGGUGCAAGAGAGGGACUCUGAACUGAUAUGAAGAGGAGCACUUCUAAAGCUUCAUUCUUUGCAAGUAGAAAUCACUACCCCUAGUUUUAUUUUCCUUUUGAAUAACAAAUGUUAAUGAUAACUCAGAAUCUAUCGUGAGAUGCUUUGAACUUGGAAAUGUUCCAAACACAGAGUUUGUAAUUUUUGAAUUGUAUUUAGUAUUGUUGCUCAUGUGUAAACUGUAGUUUCUCUGUGUGUGGCUAUAGGUUUUGCUGUUGAUAAUAUGAAUGUAAGUAAUAUGGUUUAUGUCUUUGGAGUAUUCUCAAUCAAACAGAAAAGCUAUAAAACAUUUUAAGUAUCACAUGUUCUGAUGAUAUGUCUAUGGUCUAAUAUAGACUCCAAGAAAGAAAUUAAACUUAAAGAAGCAGUUAUGCAUAUAUAUCCUACAGAAUAUGAUUCUUAAAGGAAACAUUUGCUUGAAGAGUUGAGAUGAAUUUAUGCCAUAAAGAAACAGUAGGAAAUGAGUCUGGAAAGAAACUCAAGGAGGACAUCUAGACACAAACUUAAGUGGGGCCAGUGUGCAGGAUUUAUAUAUAUGACCCUUUUAUAAGUACUAGGAAGCACUGAGAGAUUUUAAGGAAAGAGGUAUCCUAUGUCUGUGUUCCUCUUUCUCCAUCAUUUUGCCAGCAUUUGCUGUCAGUUGUUUUGUUGAUCCUAGCCAUUAUUACUGAGGAAAGAUAAAAUUAGAUGUUGUUGGGGUUGGGGAUUUAGCUCAGUGGUAGAGUGCUUGCCUAGCAAGCGCAAGGCCCUGGGUUCGGUCCCCAGCUCCUAAAAAAAAGAAAAGAAAAAAAAGAUGUUGUUGUCAUUUGCAUUUCCCUAAUUGCUAAGAUGAUGAACACUUUUGAGGUAUUCCUUAAUAAUUUUAUUUCUUCUACUGAAAAAAAACUCUCCAUUUUGACCCACACCAUUUGUUUUAAUUGAGUCAUUUGUUACCUUGACUCUCUCUCUUUUUUUUUGUUUUGUUUUUUUGUUUUGUUUUGUUUUUUGUUUUGUUUUUUUUUUGUUUCUUAUAUUCUGGAUUUUAAUCCUCUGUCAGAUGAAUAUAUGGAAAAAUUCUCUUCCACUCUAUGGGUUCCCUCUUCACUACACUGAUUGUUUCUUCAUAAUGAUUUUGUUAAUGAGAUUCUAGUUGUCAAUUGUUUGCCUUAAUUCCUGGAAAAUGGAGUCCUGUUUAGAAAUUAGUUUCCUACACCUAAAUCUUGUAGGGUACAGUCAAUAUUUUCUUUCAAUCAGUUUUGCAUUUCAAUAUUCAAAUUGAGACCUUUGAUACAGUUGGAUCUAAUUUUGUGUAGGAUGAUUGCUAUAUAUUUUCUUUCUUUUCCUUCCUUCCUUCCUUCCUUCCUUCCUUCCUUCCUUCAUUCAUUCCUUCUCUCUCCCUCCUUCUGUCCCUCCCUUCCUUCCUUUUGUAUAUUUUUAUACCAAACAGGAAAUAUGAACAGCCACAUACUCACCAUCUCUGUUCCUCAUGAGUCUCAAGAAAGAGGUUCUAGGAACCUAUAUAGAUUUUGUGCACAUAGGGAGAGAACUUGCAGCACAACGGGAAGAUCCUCAGGGGGCAUGUAGGACGGCUGUCUAGACAGUAACAAACUUGUUCUUCAUAGCUGCUCACUUUAAGUAUAACCCUGGAAAAUGGUCAUUAUAAACGAGAGGUAAUUUAUGUUAUACUUAACAGACCUAGCGAGCUGUCCAGAAAACUGGAUAUCCAAGUAGGACUAUCUCCAAAUAAUACACAUCCUGACCUGAAUAUUUUAAAAACUGUAUCUUUAAUGAUUUGAAAGGAGUGAAACAGACCAAAAAUUUACACUGCUUUAGUGCCUGUUUUGUCUGAAAUUUUGCUUUCUUAGCUGUGCCCUUUGCUACUAUUCCUUACUACUCUGUGGAUGGCUCUCAUCUGAGCACACCAGUGCUUUUGUUUUUGAAUUUCUGAUUUUCUGGGGAUGUGUUUAACUUGUAUUAACAGGAAGGGUAUUUUAGCAGACUGGUUUCCUGCUUCGUGUAAAGAGGGAAGCAGACGGCUUCUCUCCUGGCUGUUGGAAACAGGAAUGCUGAGAUAAGCGUUAGCAUUGCAUCUCCCUCUUGCUGUAUGACAAAUUUCUUUCUACUCAAGAGCCCUUGGUCCUGUUUUCUCAUUUGAUCUAACACUCUGAACAGGUGUUAUGUGUAUGUGGUCAUAGGUGAAUUUUAAUGGUAUUUCAAGGCAUUCUAUAUAAAAAUCCAAGUAAUUUCAUGGAUUGCUUUUGUCAAAUAAUAAAAUUAUUUGACAUAAGUCUUAUUGAAAACAGAUGUGGAAUAUGCAAUUCUUACAAUUUUAAAUAUCCUUCCCUGGGGUCCUUUUGACUCAUGCCAACCUGAAAUCUGAAGUAGAAAGUUUCAGCAUCCUUUUUUUUUCCAGGUGUGUUGCCUUUAAUAUACCGGAAAACUUUGUGGCAAGGAACUCUGAGCUUUAACUAAACCUGUUACCAGAAAGAUUCAACCAUCACACUGCUAAUUAAUCAGGAAAGCUUUGUACUUGAGCCAGCCUGCCAUUUGCUAGAGCUUCAACACAUCAGUGGCUGGAGCCAUGGUUUGUAGAUAAAUGUUCCCCGAGAAUUUGGCUGUCAGAACAAUGUACUUCUUUUCUGAACUCCUUUGACACCUGAGUCAAGUGACUGUAGGGAACCAGAACAGGUCUCUGGCUUUUACCAGUCCUUUGAAGUUCAGUGGUCUGAUGGCCACCAUGAUGAGCUGGCUGGUGUGUAUCCAUCAUCAUUGGAAGUCUAUCAACACCCUCAUGUCUCAUCAUCGAGGACUGAGUUAAUGAAGCAAUUCUGCCGACCAGGCUGCCUUCAUUUUCUUCUUUGCUAAAUUGGGUUCCUCCCAGCCCAGAAAAAUUGGAAAGGUCCCCUCCUUCAGGAAUCCCUUACUAUGUCAAUCCUUUUGACCAAAAAUGUUAAUACUUUUAUAUUAUUUGAACUUCACCUAUCAGUUCAUUCUGUUCUCUUUUUAAUUAAACAUUUUUUACAGACUCAAAGAAAGAUGAUAAGGUUACUCAUUGUUUCAUGUUUCAUGGUCAUGAUAUCUGGAGUUAGGGACAUGUAUUGUAAAGUCCUAUGAUCGUGGUGUCUGGAGUAAAGGGUAGAUAAAUAAAGAAGCUGCAGUUUCUUCCUCACAAGGCUACAGGUGUGGAAUGCUGCAGUUUGGCCUGUCGGAGACUUGAAAUCAGAAUUGCUGAGAUUUUCCACAUGAAAUCACCAAGAGAUUGGAUCCAGUAACAUUCCUUUAUGGAGACUAAGGGGAAGGUCGAAAGACAGCAACUGAGACUGCUCUUGAGGUGCCUCAGAAGGUGACAAGGCCUAUCGUUGAAGCUGUUAUUGUGUGACAUUUUGGUGGUAUAGCUGCCCAUAAAAUUCUCAUUCUCAUGUAGACAAUCCCUUAUUCCUCUUUCUGAAAAUAAACCCAAUUAAUUCCAUUGGUUCACGAGGUUCUAUAUCUUAAAUUGAUUAAUUAUUUGGUCUGUCAUUAGUGUAGUAUCUGGGAUAAAGAGAUGUUUGUUUAUAAUUUCACAGGAAAAAUUAAUACAAUAGUUAAAUAACUCAUUAAGAUAUGAUACAUUAAUAGGUUCAAUAAAUAGUCAUUGGUAUCUGAGGGGUCUGCAGCUCUCUACCACCCAAGGGGACCACUACUGGUAGACAUUGAUGUGUGGACAUAGGAGACAUAUGGACUCCAUGCCAUUGGAGUUUUAGAAGAGUAGAAUGUGGGAGUAGUUUAAAGAUGGAUGGUCCUGAAGCACUGGUUGUUCAAACUGGACUUUUGGAAUAAAACAAGUUGCAGAUUUGAAUAGGGUACCUUCCACUGUGACAUAUACAUUUUUUUAAUAAGUAAUAUCAUUGGCACUUAUUAGAGACAUUGUAAAAAGACAUUAUUUGUUCCAGUUUUUUUGAAGUCCCAGUGGAGAAAAGUUGUUACUGUUCACACACCAUUGCUUGCUUUGCAAAGAUAGAUAGUCUCCACACAGAACUUUGAACUGAUUUCCACAGAAACAUUUUAUAUGCAAGUGAUUCAGAAGAAAAACAGCUUUAUAACUUUGCAGAAAGGAGUGAGAAGAACUUCAUAGAGGAAAUACCAUUACAGUUUGACUUUAGAAUUAAAUAUUUGAGGAGGAAAUAAAGGAGAUACAGGCCACCCACCAUAAGCCAAAUGGUUGCUAGAAAUGUGACCUGGAACACUCUUACACGUCUUUCUUGGUGUUCUUGCAUGAACUCUAGGUAUCUGUUAGACAUUUCCACUAAAAACAAUACAUUUCUUAGGAAAGGAACAGCCGUUUUAUGAUCCCCAUUGAGAAUCCAAUAGAAAUAAAAUCUGUUGUUAAUCUGGGGCCCAUAAAGAAACAGUUCUAUAAACUGAGAGAUUGAUUGACACAGCCCACAAUUGCCCAUCCCCUAUCAUGAAUUAAACAGGAGUAAGUGGAAUAGCGUGAAGCCUUCUUUACUAGGUAGCUCAUUUGUGAAACUUUUAUACUUUUGUCCCCAAAGAGUACAGUAUAUGGAACAGAAAUUACAAAAUUAUGA